Molecule: ribosomal RNA, 540 nt
Filed under: uncultured archaeon
Lineage: Archaea
Description: bacterial SSU rRNA
Rfam family: Archaeal small subunit ribosomal RNA
Source: RNAcentral
GUCAGCAGCCGCGGUAACACCGGCGGCCCGAGUGGUGAUCGUGAUUAUUGGGUCUAAAGGGUCCGUAGCCGGUUGGUCAGUCCUCCGGGAAAUCUGAUAGCUCAACUAUUAGGCUUUCGGGGGAUACUGCCAGACUUGGAACCGGGAGAGGUAAGAGGUACUACAGGGGUAGGAGUGAAAUCUUGUAAUCCCUGUGGGACCACCUGUGGCGAAGGCGUCUUACCAGAACGGGUUCGACGGUGAGGGACGAAAGCUGGGGGCACGAACCGGAUUAGAUACCCGGGUAGUCCCAGCCGUAAACGAUGCUCGCUAGGUGUCAGGCAUGGCGCGACCGUGUCUGGUGCCGCAGGGAAGCCGUGAAGCGAGCCACCUGGGAAGUACGGCCGCAAGGCUGAAACUUAAAGGAAUUGGCGGGGGAGCACAACAACGGGUGGAGCCUGCGGUUUAAUUGGACUCAACGCCGGACAACUCACCGGGGGCGACAGCAAUAUGUAGGCCAAGCUGAAGACUUUGCCUGAAUCGCUGAGGGGAGGUGCAUGG